This 498-nucleotide ribosomal RNA is filed under the name uncultured bacterium. Its description in RNAcentral is "partial 16S ribosomal RNA". It matches the Rfam family "Bacterial small subunit ribosomal RNA", at positions 28 to 507 of the family's 1533-position model. The record is from RNAcentral.
GACGAACGCUGGCGGCGUGCCUAAUACAUGCAAGUCGAACGAGAGCACCCGGUGCUUGCACUGGUCAAUCUAGUGGCGAACGGGUGAGUAACACGUGGGUAACCUGCCCAUCAGAGGGGGAUAACAUCCGGAAACGGAUGCUAAAACCGCAUAGGUCUUCGAACCGCAUGGUUUGAAGAGGAAAAGAGGCGCAAGCUUCUGCUGAUGGAUGGACCCGCGGUGCAUUAGCUAGUUGGUGAGGUAACGGCUCACCAAGGCCGUGAUGCAUAGCCGACCUGAGAGGGUGAUCGGCCACAUUGGGACUGAGACACGGCCCAAACUCCUACGGGAGGCAGCAGUAGGGAAUCUUCCGCAAUGGACGCAAGCCUGACGGAGCAACGCCGCGUGAGUGAAGAAGGUUUUCGGAUCGUAAAACUCUGUUGUUAGAGAAGAACAAGUGCUAGAGUAACUGUUAGCGCCUUGACGGUAGCUAACCAGAAAGCCACGGCUAACUACGUG